GGGCCCGCACAAGCGGUGGAGCAUGUGGUUUAAUUCGAUGAUACGCGAGGAACCUUACCAGGGCUUAAAUGUAUUCUGACAGCUUUAGAGAUAGAGUUUUCUUCGGACAGAAUACAAGGUGCUGCAUGGUUGUCGUCAGCUCGUGCCGUGAGGUGUUAGGUUAAGUCCUGCAACGAGCGCAACCCCUAUUCUUAGUUGCCAGCGGUUCGGCCGGGGACUCUAAGAAGACUGCCGGUGCAAACCGUGAGGAAGGUGGGGAUGACGUCAAAUCAUCACGGCCCUUACGUCCUGGGCUACACACGUGCUACAAUGGUCGGUACAGAGAGCAGCCACUACGCGAGUAGGAGCGAA
RNAcentral lists this ribosomal RNA (351 nucleotides) under uncultured bacterium. Its description in RNAcentral is "bacterial SSU rRNA". It matches the Rfam family "Bacterial small subunit ribosomal RNA", at positions 917 to 1271 of the family's 1533-position model. The record is from RNAcentral.